Molecule: long non-coding RNA, 252 nt
Filed under: Elaeis guineensis (African oil palm)
Lineage: Eukaryota; Viridiplantae; Streptophyta; Magnoliopsida; Arecales; Arecaceae
Description: long non-coding RNA (EGUI_LNC069019)
Source: RNAcentral
AUUGGGUCCAAUCCCAUCUCUACCUCAAGACAUCAAAUAUCAAUAGAGUGGUUAUACCUUUUUAAUGCAACCGAACUACUGUAACUAGUCGAGAACGAUCAACGUCAGAAAGAGACCCAUAUCUUUACAAUGAUGGAAGACCACUAGACUUAAUAUUUAAUGAGAAGAUUUGAGAUUAGAUCUCUUCUAAAUCAGUAAAUUUGAUAUCCGACUGAUUAAAUUAGAUCAGUAUAUCAAUAUGUCUAACCAGCC